GACGAACGCUGGCGGCGUGCUUAACACAUGCAAGUCGAACGGUGAACCCGCUUCGGUGGGGGAUCAGUGGCGAACGGGUGAGUAACACGUGGGCAACCUGCCCCCGGCUCUGGGAUAACUCCAAGAAAUUGGGGCUAAUACCGGAUAUGACCGCUGACCGCAUGGUCUGGUGGUGGAAAGAUUUAUCGGCUGGGGAUGGGCCCGCGGCCUAUCAGCUUGUUGGUGGGGUAGUGGCCUACCAAGGCGACGACGGGUAGCCGGCCUGAGAGGGUGACCGGCCACACUGGGACUGAGACACGGCCCAGACUCCUACGGGAGGCAGCAGUGGGGAAUAUUGCGCAAUGGGCGGAAGCCUGACGCAGCGACGCCGCGUGGGGGAUGACGGCCUUCGGGUUGUAAACCUCUUUCAGCAGGGACGAAGCCGGGAGGUGACGGUACCUGCAGAAGAAGCACCGGCCAACUACGUGCCAGCCGCCGCCGUAACAC
RNAcentral lists this ribosomal RNA (486 nucleotides) under uncultured bacterium. RNAcentral describes it as "bacterial SSU rRNA". It matches the Rfam family "Bacterial small subunit ribosomal RNA", at positions 28 to 526 of the family's 1533-position model. The record is from RNAcentral.